AAUCCCUCAAGCACUGCUUGGUAUUGGGUGGCCAGAUUUGGCUACCUGGAAGUCAUGGCAAUGUCAAGUUAGUAUUGAAGCUUUGGCAGCAUCUAAGCUUGCUUGACUAGCUGAGGUCAUUGGAUUAUGAUCUUUUU
This 137-nucleotide unclassified non-coding RNA is filed under the name uncultured Ascomycota. Its description in RNAcentral is "sequence contains ITS2". Lineage: Eukaryota; Fungi; Ascomycota. The record is from RNAcentral.